Molecule: transfer RNA, 75 nt
Filed under: Deltaproteobacteria bacterium
Lineage: Bacteria; Pseudomonadati; Myxococcota; Myxococcia
Description: tRNA-Ala
Rfam family: tRNA
About the family: Transfer RNA (tRNA) molecules are approximately 80 nucleotides in length. Their secondary structure includes four short double-helical elements and three loops (D, anti-codon, and T loops).
Source: RNAcentral
GGGGGUGUAGCUCAGCGGGAGAGCAUCUCGUUCGCAACGAGGGGGCCACGGGUUCAAUCCCCGUCACCUCCACCA